RNAcentral lists this ribosomal RNA (330 nucleotides) under Blastocystis sp. Its description in RNAcentral is "SSU rRNA". It matches the Rfam family "Eukaryotic small subunit ribosomal RNA", at positions 497 to 837 of the family's 1831-position model. Lineage: Eukaryota; Bigyra; Opalinata; Blastocystidae. The record is from RNAcentral.
UCAGUCUUGCAAUUGGAUUGAGAACAAUGUACAACUCUUAUCGAUAAGCCAUUGGAGGGCAAGUCUGGUGCCAGCAGCCGCGGUAAUUCCAGCUCCAAUAGCGUAUAUUAACGUUGUUGCAGUUAAAAAGCUCGUAGUUGAAGUGUGGGUGGUGCUGUCUGAAUGACUUCGGUUAGUCAGAUGAUCACUACCCCCUUCCAGUAUCCAAUAGUGGGUAUUCAGUUACUUACUAUUGUGUGUUGGUCAUUUACUGUGAGAAAAUUAGAGUGUUCAAAGCAGGCGUUUGCUUGAAUAGAUUAGCAUGGAAUAAUAAUUGAAGGCUUUCGUGUU